CCGCGUGAGUGAUGAAGGCCUUAGGGUUGUAAAGGCUCUUUCGUCAGGGACGAUAAUGACGGUACCUGAAGAAGAAGCCCCGGCUAACUUCGUGC
This 95-nucleotide ribosomal RNA is filed under the name uncultured bacterium. RNAcentral describes it as "partial 16S ribosomal RNA". It matches the Rfam family "Bacterial small subunit ribosomal RNA", at positions 397 to 508 of the family's 1533-position model. The record is from RNAcentral.